This is a non-coding RNA of Salmo salar (Atlantic salmon), 2556 nucleotides long. The record is from RefSeq and is a predicted model, not a curated record. Lineage: Eukaryota; Metazoa; Chordata; Actinopteri; Salmoniformes; Salmonidae.
AGACUACUCUACCAACUACUGGAUCAGACUACUCUACCAACUACUGGAUCAGACUACUCUACCAACUACUGGAUCAGACUACUCUACUAACUACUGGAUCAGACUACUCUACCAACUACUGGAUCAGACUACUCUACCAACUACUGGAUCAGACUACUCCUCUAACUACUGGUCUAAAACACACCUGGAUCAGACUACUCUACUAACUACUGGAUCAGACUACUCUACUAACUACUGGAUCAGACUACUCUACUAACUACUGGAUCAGACUACUCUACCAACUACUGGAUCAGACUACUCUACCAACUACUGGUCUAAAACACACCUGGAUCAGACUACUCUACUAACUACUGGAUCAGACUACUCUACUAACUACUGGAUCAGACUACUCUACUAACUACUGGAUCAGACUACUCUACUAACUACUGGAUCAGACUACUCUACUAACUACUGGAUCAGACUACUCUACUAACUACUGGAUCAGACUACUCUACUAACUACUGGAUCAGACUACUCUACUAACUACUGGAUCAGACUACCCUACUAACUACUGGUCUAAAACACACCUGGAUCAGACUACUCUACUGACUACUGGUCUAAAACACACCUGGAUCAGACUCAUUUUCACAACAAAUGGAGUUGCCGUUCUCUGGUCUGGAGUCGACCUUCAUCAUCAUCGCCUUCAUCAUCUUCUCUCUCUUCGGCCUGGCCUCAGUCUGUACUCAGCCGGACACAGAGGAAGCUGUGUGUGAAGAGAAGAGGUUCCACAGGAGACCAGAGAGGAAGCAACGUGUCAUCGUCAAACUGGCCUCUCAGAGAGAACCCUGAACACUGUCCUCUCAGAGAGAACCCUGAACACUGGCCCAAUCUGGCCUCUCAGAGAGAACCCUGAACACUGGCCCAAACUGGCCUCUCAGAGAGAACCCUGAACACUGUCCCAAACUGGCCUCUCAGAGAGAACCCUGAACACUGGCCUCUCAGAGAGAACCCUGAACACUGGCCUCUCAGAGAGAACCCUGAACACUGGCCUCUCAGAGAGAACCCUGAACACUGGCCUCUCAGAGAGAACCCUGAACACUGUCCCAAUCUGGCCUCUCAGAGAGAACCCUGAACACUGUCCCAAACUGGCCUCUCAGAGAGAACCCUAAACACUGUCCCAAACUGGCCUCUCAGAGAGAACCCUAAACACUGUCCCAAACUGGCCUCUCAGAAAGAACCCUGAACACUGGCCUCUCAGAGAGAACCCUGAACACUGUCCCAAACUGGCCUCUCAGAGAUAACCCUGAACACUGUCCCAAACUGGCCUCUCAGAGAGAACCCUGAACACUGUCCCAAACUGGCCUCUCAGAGAGAACCCUGAACACUGUCCCAAACUGGCCUCUCAGAGAGAACCCUGAACACUGUCCCAAACUGGCCUCUCAGAAAGAACCCUAAACACUGUCCCAAACUGGCCUCUCAGAGAUAACCCUGAACACUGUCCCAAACUGGCCUCUCAGAGAGAACCCUGAACACUGUCCCAAACUGGCCUCUCAGAGAGAACCCUGAACAUUGGCCUCUCAGAGAGAACCCUGAACACUGGCCUCUCAGAGAGAACCCUGAACACUGUCCCAAACUGGCCUCUCAGAGAGAACCCUGAACACUGGCCUCUCAGAGAGAACCCUGAACACUAGCCUCUCAGAGAGAACCCUGAACACUGGCCUCUCAGAGAGAACCCUGAACACUGUCCCAAACUGGCCUCUCAGAGAGAACCCUGAACACUGGCCUCUCAGAGAGAACCCUGAACACUGGCCUCUCAGAGAGAACCCUGAACACUGGCCUCUCAGAGAGAAUCCUGAACACUGGCCUCUCAGAGAGAACCCUGAACACUGGCCUCUCAGAGAGAACCCUGAACACUGUCCCGAACUGGCCUCUCAGAGAGAACCCUGAACACUGGCCUCUCAGAGAGAACCCUGAACACUGUACCAGCCCUGGUAGCACAAUCGAUAUGCUGAUAGAAUUUAGGGAGCCUUAUUUUUCACAUUAGCCUUGUUAAAAUCUCCAGCUACAAUAAAUGCAGCCUCAGGAUAUGUGGUUUCCAGUUUACAAAGAGUCCAGUGAACUUCUUUCAGGGCCAUGUUGGUAAGUUGACGUUGCUCAUAUGGCCAAUAGUUCUUCCCGGCUGUAUGUAAUAAAACGUAAGAUUUCCUGGGGUAACAAUGUACGAAAUAAUACAUUAAAAAAAAAAAAAAAAUACUGCAUGGUUUCCUAAGAACACCAAGCGAGGCGGCCAUCUCUGUUGGCGCCGGAUGUUGCCGUACAUUUUGUUAACGACAGCUGGUGCACGAAAUCUAAAGAAGUCUCAAGGUUUUGCUGGCCUGAGGUAGAGUAUCUCAUGAUAAGCUGUAGACCACACUAUUUACCAAGAGAGUUUUCAUCUAUAUUCUUCGUAGCUGUCCAUUUACCGACACAAACCGAUGCGCUGGUACUAAGACCGCACUCAAUGAGCUGUGUACCGCCAUAAGCAAACAGGAAGACGCUCAUCCAGAGGCGGCGCUCCUAGUGGCCGGGGACUUUAAU